GAGAGGAGAGAGACUCCUCUAUCCGGCCGGGGAGACUCAGGGCCCGGGGAGCGGCGACAGCAGAUUGCCAUCGAGCUACAGAGUUUGUGAACGCCUGUGGACAUCAUGGCUGAAGGUGGUGACUGGGGAGGUGAUUCAGUGGCCUGUACAUCAAAGGGACAAAAAGAUAUAAACACAGCAAUCCCCAC
Molecule: long non-coding RNA, 188 nt
Organism: Amblyraja radiata (thorny skate)
Lineage: Eukaryota; Metazoa; Chordata; Chondrichthyes; Rajiformes; Rajidae
Exons: 4
Source: RefSeq, a predicted model, not a curated record